AGCUGAAGCCAGCCAGACCUGAAAGGCUUGUGUUGGCAGUGCCAAUAUCCGUCCUUAACCCCUGCCAAUGUGGGUGGCUGCUCUAAGAGCACUCUGCAGGGGAAGCAGAAUUGGACUGAAGCCCGAGCUACUGCUGCCUAUAGCUUGCUCUCUGACGCUCUUGCCGCUGAGAAUGUACCUUGCUGGUACAGCCGGAGCCGAGAGCUCUAGAAAAGAAUAGUUUCUGUCCAUGAAGGAACAGUUCAAGAAGAGCAAGCUUACUCUGCCCACGGAAGACCAGACUCCUAUCUGGCUUUGUUUGGAAUAUCUAAGCUCAGGAAAUUCAGGUUAUUGCAGCUGACUGCAAAAGGGUCACAGUGCUGAAGUACUUUCUGGAAGCCCUUUGUGGACAAGAAGAGCCUCUGCUGGCAUUCAAGGAUGGAAAGUAUGUGUCAGUGGCACCCGCCCCAGACACCAUGGGAAAGGAAAUGGGAAGCCAAGAGGGAACACGACUGGAAGAUGAGGAGGAGGAUGUGGUGAUUGAAGACUUUGAGGAAGAUUCAGA
RNAcentral lists this small RNA (544 nucleotides) under Pongo abelii (Sumatran orangutan). Its description in RNAcentral is "processed transcript". Lineage: Eukaryota; Metazoa; Chordata; Mammalia; Primates; Hominidae. The record is from RNAcentral.